GAUGAAGAACGUAGCAAAAUGCGAUACUUGGUGUGAAUUGCAGAAUCCCGUGAACCAUCGAGUUUUUGAACGCAAGUUGCGCCCGAAGCCUUUUGGCCGAGGGCACGUCUGCCUGGGCGUCACGCAUCGCGUCGCCCCCCACAACUCUCCGUAAAGGGAACUUGUGUUUUGGGGGCGGAUAUUGGUCUCCCGUGCUCAUGGCGUGGUUGGCCGAAAUAGGAGUCCCUCCGGUGGACGCACGAACUAGUGGUGGUCGUAAAAACCCUCGUCUUUUGUUUCGUGCCGUUAGUCGCGAGGGAAACUCUUUAAAAACCCAAAUGUGUCGUCUCUUGACGGCGCUUCGACCGCGACCCCAGGUCAGGCGGGACUACCCGCUGAGUUUAAGCAUAUCAAUAACGGAGGA
This 403-nucleotide unclassified non-coding RNA is filed under the name soil metagenome. RNAcentral describes it as "partial contains 5.8S ribosomal RNA, internal transcribed spacer 2, and large subunit ribosomal RNA". The stretch from base 1 to 122 matches the Rfam family "5.8S ribosomal RNA", at positions 35 to 154 of the family's 154-position model. The record is from RNAcentral.